RNAcentral lists this long non-coding RNA (2897 nucleotides) under Megachile rotundata (alfalfa leafcutting bee). Its description in RNAcentral is "uncharacterized LOC105662372". Lineage: Eukaryota; Metazoa; Arthropoda; Insecta; Hymenoptera; Megachilidae. The record is from RNAcentral.
CUUUGGUCAGUUUACGAUUUUGUCCCGUGAUCGCCGGUGCCCAGUUCUUUCCUCGAAGCUCUUUCACGGGAAAUGUUAAAAUUCAGCUGAUUCUUUGUCCAGUGUUCGGAUCGCGGCAACAAAAUCGAUGGCCCGUGAAAGAUGACUGGGUGCAGGGUGGAGAUCGAUCCUCGAUCGCGGCGCAGGGACGUCGAUCAUCCGAGCCAGCGAGGAAAACCACCGAAGGACGAUACAGACGAGGAAACAAGAGGAAACUACUUUGACCACAGGACGCGAGUCGAUCUUCGAUAAUUCGAUUUGUACGGUGUUUCCUCGCUGGAAGUUGACCAGGAUGAACCAGACUGCGAAUUUCUCCGGACACCGAGUCAAGGGGUUUGUUCGAAGAAAAAUCUUGAAGAACGACGGUUUAACGAACGAGGGAACAGUCUUUGCCAGACCCGGCCACGAACAAUAUAUUCCACGAAGCCCAGUUAAUCCUAUCUUUCGGAUCUGAAUUCGAGGUUUCCGUUAUACACUCGCGGCCGACUCGGUCCGCGCGAUCAAAGUGAAUUAAAUCGCGGGGGUGGAGACGGUAUGCGCGACUCUCUCCUCCCUUCCCUUGUCACCCUCCGAAAAUAUACCAGCAGGGGUAACACGCUCGUUACGACCAAUUGAAAUUACCGCGAUCAAGACGCGGACUAGGCGAGAGGAAACGAACAGAGACACGCUCCGUCGCGAGAAUUCCUCGCCUCCAAAUGGCCGCAAUAAAACCGAUGCUUGUAUUUUAUCGGAAACGUUAACUGCUUCGUAAAUCAAUCCUGUUACGGGUUCAGUACGACGCUGGACCUUAGAAGACGGUCAAAGACGCGUGCAAUAUUAUUUAGGAGAGUCGAUCGAAUAUAUCUCAGACAUUUUAAUAAAGCCGCGUCUAUAAACACCAGAGAAGAAUAUCAAAGCGUGUAUUUACAGUCUGUAGUCUAAAAUUAUAGGCUCGAACCGCUGGAUCUCCGAGACCUUUGUCUCGCGGAAGCGUUUGGGAGUCAUCGCGGCGGAAUUUUUCGCAAUCAGCGAAAUGGCGGUGGCGAAGAGGAGUUGGAUUGAACAAACACGAGCAAUCGGUGCGCGCGAGCGAUUCGCGAGCUAGGCGGGAACGAAAUGGAGAGACGUGGAAUAUAAUCUAUCCUGUUUGAGGAGAACUGGCACCGACUGCAAGUUAGAACAAACUCCCAGUGUACUCUGGGAACGUCGUAGCCGGCAACCAAUCCACCGACGUACCACCCUCUUUCACCCUCUCCUUCUGGACGGUCUCUCUUCGUCUGCCACGAGCAUCUCUGAAAUCGGGUAAAAUAACAUCUUUCGCGAUCUAUUUAGACGUGCAGGUAUAUUGGACGUUUCGAAGAAAUCGACUUAGCUCAACUUUCGAUCAGAAUGCUAUGUUUGUUCACUGCUUUUCGAUGAUAGGUCGUUACAGUAGCCAUAACGAAAGGGCUGAAAAUAUACGGAGUUAUAAUCGUUGCACGCAGGAUCUAGUAACUUUGUAAAAUUCCCGAAAAUGAUCCUUGCGGUUUUCUGUAACUGCGCGAUAAAGGUUCUUUUUAACGAGAGAUUCAAAAGCUCGGGAAACGAGGGACCGUUUUGACGAGGGAACGUUUAAAUCCCGCGAUAAGAAGCCCGGGGGUCAGUGGAUCCGCGAGCGUGCGAUGCUCUAAACGGAUUCUUUCCUGCGAUGCUUUCUAUGCAAACUCGUCGAAUUUCAGCGUUGCUCGAGAUACUAGGAAACGGGGACUUCGUAACCCGCUACCGAUCCAUCGAUGCUGCGUUCCCUCCCUUUCCGUUCUCACCGAUAAUUAGAUAAAGCAAUAUCCUGCGACAUUAAAUAGAAAUAGGAUUGCCAUAAUUAAUUCAAAUACAUCCGAGGUUGGAUAUUUCCAGCGGAAACUGUUCCGCAAAUUCUAGGCUGCGAUAAUCGAAUCGAACUUUACUCCCCUCAAGAAUUUACCGAUUUUAUAACUCACGCACGCAAUUCUCGUUCAAAGAUUUUUUCAUUAAAUUAAACUUUUCGAUAAAUAAACGAUCCCAUGAAAUCCUUCGCCUGAAUAAACGUCGGUUUCAUAAGUAGUUGAAACAUAACGAAGAAAAAAAGAAUGCGAACUAAUCGGAGACAAGUUUGCAGAGGAAAUUUAAUAAAGCCGUAUCUUCCCAUAUUCUAUGGGGUUUUUUCCCCGGUGAUCCGGGUCGAAUCAAGAAGGCAGAAACGACGAAGCCGGUUGCUCAUGAAUAUUCAUUUCUUGCCGGUUUCUUACAGGAGGUCGACACGGGGGUGAGCACGGUACGGAGCAACCAGGGCCGUACUUUUAAGCACGAGAGUGGGGGUUCUGGAUCAAUGCCGAGGCCACGCCUCCUUCGUCUUACAUCCUGCACCCUCUUCCUCGCCCCGUCGCGCUCGCCUUCCUUUCCUUUUGCUUUUCCACCCUCUUCGCUGCCUUCAUCCGAGCCCCCGGAAAAUCCGCCUCGCGACUGGCGAAGUAAAUAGCCGCGAGCCACCAAAGCGUCUGAAGAAUCUUAAAUAUAUAUUAAUAUCGCUAUUUCACUUUUUUAUUUUUUAACCUCAUAAAAACUUUAACCUUCAGCGUUACUCGACAUUCAUUGUUAAAAAUAUGACGGGAAAUGCAGGUUAUUGGUAUCUCAAUCUUAUUUACUUUUUAGAAGCUUGUUUCCGAGAUAAGAAAACGGUGGACGGAGACUUCAAUUGCGAAGUACGAAACUCUCUUCCUUGGAUUUUUGCCUUGUAUUUCUUUCCUUUUCUGUUCAAUCUCUUAUGUUAGCAUACUCUUCAGAAAAAUUCCUUCUAUUUUAGUCCCUUGCCGUACAAUUUAUUUGUCAGAUGCGUCAGUCAAAACUGACUAUUUAUAGGUAUA